Molecule: long non-coding RNA, 237 nt
Filed under: Elaeis guineensis (African oil palm)
Lineage: Eukaryota; Viridiplantae; Streptophyta; Magnoliopsida; Arecales; Arecaceae
Description: long non-coding RNA (EGUI_LNC052672)
Source: RNAcentral
UCUGGAUGUCGGGUAUCAUUGCUAGAUGGUCAUUUCGAUUAAUAUAAGAAGGAGUUCUUAUACUACCGGCUUAGUAUUCGAACCUAUAGAGUCGCAUACAAAAAUCAAACAAUGUAGAAAAAAAUAGAUUAAAUAUUUAUGUGUUUAAUUUAGAAGUAUGAGACUUGAUUGAAUAUGUAGAUUAACUUAACUAAAAAUUAAGUUUAGAUCGUUUGGAAUUAAACACUGAUUAUGUCC